RNAcentral lists this transfer RNA (73 nucleotides) under Prosciurillus leucomus (whitish dwarf squirrel). RNAcentral's name for it is "tRNA-Gly". It matches the Rfam family "tRNA". From Rfam's summary of the family: Transfer RNA (tRNA) molecules are approximately 80 nucleotides in length. Their secondary structure includes four short double-helical elements and three loops (D, anti-codon, and T loops). Further hydrogen bonds mediate the characteristic L-shaped molecular structure. tRNAs have two regions of fundamental functional importance: the anti-codon, which is responsible for specific mRNA codon recognition, and the 3' end, to which the tRNAs corresponding amino acid is attached (by aminoacyl-tRNA synthetases). tRNAs cope with the degeneracy of the genetic code in two manners: having more than one tRNA (with a specific anti-codon) for a particular amino acid; and 'wobble' base-pairing, i.e. permitting non-standard base-pairing at the 3rd anti-codon position. Lineage: Eukaryota; Metazoa; Chordata; Mammalia; Rodentia; Sciuridae. The record is from RNAcentral.
ACUCUCUUAGUAUAACACACAGUACAACUGACUUCCAAUCAGACAGCCCCAGUAUUAAGCCCGGGAGAGAGUA